UACAUAGGGGGCAAGCGUUGUCCGGAUUUAUUGGGCGUAAAGAGCGUGUAGGCGGCCAUGUAGGUCCGUUGUGAAAACUCGAGGCUCAACCUCGAGACGCCGAUGGAAACCAUGUGGCUAGAGUCCGGAAGAGGAGAGUGGAAUUCCUGGUGUAGCGGUGAAAUGCGCAGAUAUCAGGAAGAACACCCGUGGCUAAGGCGGCUCUCUAGUACGGUACUGACGCUGAGACGCGAAAGCGUGGGGAGCGAACAGG
This 253-nucleotide ribosomal RNA is filed under the name uncultured bacterium. Its description in RNAcentral is "partial 16S ribosomal RNA". It matches the Rfam family "Bacterial small subunit ribosomal RNA", at positions 524 to 776 of the family's 1533-position model. The record is from RNAcentral.